GGCAUCGCUCAGCUCACCUCUAAGGGAGCUUUCGGGUCUUAUUCCCCAGAAUCAUCCUGUGAGCUUUACCAGAUUUAUUAUGUAGCGUCGUGUCCGUCCCGAUUGUAGGGACAAGAAGAACUGGGAUGGUGUGGAGGAAUGGCUAUUUGUAUGUAAGUAGAUGGGAAUUAUGUAAAUUGUUUUCUAUUUUCAGAGCUUCUUGUCCACUUAAUGGAGGUAACUACCCACUUA
This is a non-coding RNA of Pelobates cultripes (western spadefoot toad), 231 nucleotides long. Lineage: Eukaryota; Metazoa; Chordata; Amphibia; Anura; Pelobatidae. The record is from the annotation of a GenBank genome assembly.